GUGUCCGGUAUAGAAAAACCGGAGGUUCAUACAGGAUGGUCGGGCCGCCAUCU
This 53-nucleotide non-coding RNA is filed under the name unclassified sequences. Its description in RNAcentral is "Li+-I sequence". It matches the Rfam family "nhaA-I RNA". Rfam says of the family: Acidobacteria, Alphaproteobacteria, Betaproteobacteria and Gammaproteobacteria, Verrucomicrobia, cand. division NC10. The record is from Rfam by way of RNAcentral.